CACGUAGGGUGCGAGCGUUGUCCGGAAUUAUUGGGCGUAAAGGGCUCGUAGGCGGUUUGUCGCGUCGGGAGUGAAAGCCCGGGGCUUAACUCCGGGUCUGCAUUCGAUACGGGCAGGCUAGAGUUCGGUAGGGGAGAUCGGAAUUCCUGGUGUAGCGGUGAAAUGCGCAGAUAUCAGGAGGAACACCGGUGGCGAAGGCGGAUCUCUGGGCCGAUACUGACGCUGAGGAGCGAAAGCGUGGGGAGCGAACAGG
RNAcentral lists this ribosomal RNA (253 nucleotides) under uncultured bacterium. RNAcentral describes it as "partial 16S ribosomal RNA". It matches the Rfam family "Bacterial small subunit ribosomal RNA", at positions 524 to 776 of the family's 1533-position model. The record is from RNAcentral.